Molecule: ribosomal RNA, 1393 nt
Filed under: human gut metagenome
Description: bacterial LSU rRNA
Rfam family: Bacterial large subunit ribosomal RNA
Source: RNAcentral
CCGACAGCUAAGGUCCCAAAGUACGUGUUAAGUGGAAAAGGAUGUGGGAUUUCAUAGACAACUAGGAUGUUGGCUUAGAAGCAGCCAUACAUUUAAAGAGUGCGUAAUAGCUCACUAGUCGAGAAAACCUGCGCCGAAAAUGUAACGGGGCUAAAACACGACACCGAAGCUACGGAUUCCUUACUAAGUAAGGAGUGGUAGAGGAGCAUCCUGCAAGGACGAAGCCAAAGUGAGAGCGAUGGUGGACGAAACAGGAGAGAGAAUGCCGGAAUGAGUAGCGAGAUACAUGUGAGAAACAUGUAGGCCGAAUAUCUAAGGAUUCCUGGGUAAAGCUAAUCUUCCCAGGGUUAGUCGGGGCCUAAGGCGAGGACGAAAGUCGUAGUCGAUGGAUAACAGGUUGAUAUUCCUGUACUACACAUAAUCAGAACUGUGGGGACGCAGGAGGAUAGGGAAACCGGGGAAUGGAAAGACCCGGUCAAGCGUAAAGCUGUGGGAGAUAGGCAAAUCCGUCUCCUGUAAGUGAAACGUGAUGAGGACUGAAAAAAAGUAAGGAAGUUUCCGAAUCCACACUGCCGAGAAAAGCCGCUAUUGCGUUAUGUGUACCCGUACCGUAAACCGACACAGGUAGAUGAGGAGAAAAUCCACAGGCCGACGGGAGAAGUGUUGUUAAGGAACUCGGCAAAAUGACCCCGUAACUUCGGGAUAAGGGGAGCCUCGCAAGAGGCCGCAGAAAAGAGGCACAAGCAACUGUUUAGCAAAAACAUAGGUCUAUGCGAAACCGUAAGGUGAAGUAUAUGGGCUGACGCCUGCCCGGUGCUGGAAGGUUAAAAGGAGAGGUCAGCGCAAGCGAAGCUUUGAAUUCAAGCCCCAGUAAACGGCGGCCGUAACUAUAACGGUCCUAAGGUAGCGAAAUUCCUUGUCAGGUAAGUUCUGACCCGCACGAAAGGCGUAAUGAUUUGUGCACUGUCUCGACAACACGCCCGGUGAAAUUGAAGAACCAGUGAAGAUACUGGUUACCCGCAACAGGACGGAAAGACCCCAUGGAGCUUUACUGCAGCCUGAUACUGGGAUUCGAUGAUAUAUGUACAGGAUAGGUGGGAGGCUAAGAAGCGAGAACGCUAGUUUUCGUGGAGCCGCCGGUGGGAUACCACUCUUAUGUCAUUGAAUUUCUAACCUGCAUCCGUAAUCCGGAUGAGGGACAAUGUCAGGCGGGCAGUUUGACUGGGGCGGUCGCCUCCUAAAAGGUAACGGAGGCGCUCGAAGGUCACCUCAGAAUGAUUGGAAACCAUUCAAAGAGUGUAAAGGCAAAAGGUGGCUUGACUGCGAGAGCGACGGCUCGAGCAGGUACGAAAGUAGGACUUAGUGAUCCGGUGGUAUUAAGUGGGAAUGCCAU